This 83-nucleotide transfer RNA is filed under the name Planctomycetota bacterium. RNAcentral's name for it is "tRNA-Tyr". It matches the Rfam family "tRNA". From Rfam's summary of the family: Transfer RNA (tRNA) molecules are approximately 80 nucleotides in length. Their secondary structure includes four short double-helical elements and three loops (D, anti-codon, and T loops). RNAcentral also lists the same sequence under 2 other names. Lineage: Bacteria; Pseudomonadati; Planctomycetota. The record is from RNAcentral.
GGGCGAGUACCUAAGUGGCCAAAGGGGACGGGCUGUAAACCCGUUGGCGUACGCCUUCGCAGGUUCGAAUCCUGCCUCGCCCA